This 253-nucleotide ribosomal RNA is filed under the name uncultured bacterium. RNAcentral's name for it is "partial 16S ribosomal RNA". It matches the Rfam family "Bacterial small subunit ribosomal RNA", at positions 524 to 776 of the family's 1533-position model. The record is from RNAcentral.
GACGAAGGAUGCAAGCGUUAUCCGGAUUCAUUGGGUUUAAAGGGUGCGUAGGCGGCCCAGUAAGUCAGUGGUGAAAGCUCUCCGCUUAACGGAGAAACUGCCAUUGAUACUGCUGGGCUUGAGUACAGAUGAUGUUGGCGGAAUAUGACAUGUAGCGGUGAAAUGCAUAGAUAUGUCAUAGAACACCGAUUGCGAAGGCAGCUGACAAAACUGUAACUGACGCUGAGGCACGAAAGUGCGGGGAGCAAACGGG